RNAcentral lists this ribosomal RNA (164 nucleotides) under uncultured bacterium. RNAcentral describes it as "partial 16S rRNA". It matches the Rfam family "Bacterial small subunit ribosomal RNA", at positions 355 to 511 of the family's 1533-position model. The record is from RNAcentral.
UAGGGAAUCUUCCACAAUGGACGAAAGUCUGAUGGAGCAACGCCGCGUGAGUGAGGAAGGUUUUCGGAUCGUAAAGCUCUGUUGUUGGUGAAGAAGGAUAGAGGCAGUAACUGGUCUUUAUUUGACGGUAAUCAACCAGAAAGUCACGGCUAACUACGUGCCAA